Molecule: ribosomal RNA, 264 nt
Filed under: uncultured Chaetoceros
Lineage: Eukaryota; Bacillariophyta; Thalassiosirophyceae; Chaetocerotales; Chaetocerotaceae
Description: partial Bacterial large subunit ribosomal RNA
Rfam family: Bacterial large subunit ribosomal RNA
Source: RNAcentral
UAAGGCCCCUAAGUGAUAGCUAAGUGGAAAAGGAUGUGGAGUUGCGGAGACAACCAGGAGGUUGGCUUGGAAGCAGCCAUCCUUGAAAGAGUGCGUAAUAGCUCACUGGUCAAGUGAUUCCGCGCCGAUAAUGUAGCGGGGCUUAAGUUAUCCGCCGAAGCUGUGGCAACCUGUGUGGUUGGGUAGGGGAGCGUCGUGUCAGUGGUGAAGCUGCCGGGUGACUGUGUGGUGGAGUUGAUGCGAGUGAGAAUGCAGGCAUGAGUA